UGGGGAAUAUUGGACAAUGGGCGCAAGCCUGAUCCAGCCAUGCCGCGUGAGUGAUGAAGGCCUUAGGGUUGUAAAGCUCUUUUAGCAGGGACGAUAAUGACGGUACCUGCAGAAAAAGCCCCGGCCAACUUCGUGCCAGCAGCCGCGGUAAUACGAAGGGGGCUAGCGUUGCUCGGAAUCACUGGGCGUAAAGCGCACGUAGGUGGGUCGUUAAGUCGGGGGUGAAAUCCCGGAGCUCAACUCCGGAACUGCCUUCGAUACUGGCGACCUUCGAGUCCGGGAGAGGUGAGUGGAACUGCGAGUGUAGAGGUGAAAUUCGUAGAUAUUCGCAAGAACACCAGUGGCGAAGGCGGCUCACUGGCCCGGUACUGACACUGAGGUGCGAAAGCGUGGGGAGCAGAC
RNAcentral lists this ribosomal RNA (402 nucleotides) under uncultured bacterium. Its description in RNAcentral is "bacterial SSU rRNA". It matches the Rfam family "Bacterial small subunit ribosomal RNA", at positions 355 to 773 of the family's 1533-position model. The record is from RNAcentral.